AUGUCCGCCGCCUGACGAGGACAGCGUGCUGCUGAAGAGGCCUUCAGCCAUCCGCGGCACAUCCAUGCUUGAUCGUCUCGGCUCCAGCUCUUUUUCCGGGUGUGUAAAGAUUUAGGAAUUGAAGAUGGGGUUCAGAGGAUCAGACCUGCAAGGCAAGGCAAGACAAGGUUACAGGAAUGAGGCAUGCAUACAAACAAAGGCUGGAUAACUGAAUGCUGCAGGGCUGCAAUACUGAAGGGAUCCGGAGUCAUGGCUGAUCCUGUUGCUGUGGUCCUG
Long non-coding RNA from Gymnodraco acuticeps, 276 nucleotides. RefSeq lists it as uncharacterized. The transcript has 3 exons. Lineage: Eukaryota; Metazoa; Chordata; Actinopteri; Perciformes; Bathydraconidae. The record is from RefSeq and is a predicted model, not a curated record.